Molecule: unclassified non-coding RNA, 328 nt
Filed under: soil metagenome
Description: partial contains 5.8S ribosomal RNA, internal transcribed spacer 2, and large subunit ribosomal RNA
Rfam family: 5.8S ribosomal RNA (bases 1-120)
Source: RNAcentral
GAUGAAGAACGCAGCGAAAUGCGAUAAGUAAUGUGAAUUGCAGAAUUCAGUGAAUCAUCGAAUCUUUAAACGCACAUUGCGCCCCCUGGUAUUCCGGGGGGCAUGCCUGUUCGAGCGUCAUUUCAACCCUCAAGCUCUGCUUGGUAUUGAGUCCAUGUCAGCAAUGGCAGGCUCCAAAAUCAGUGGCGGCGCCGCUGGGUCCUGAACGUAGUAAUAUCUCUCGUUACAGGUGCUCGGCGUGCUUCUGCCAAAACCCCAAUUUUUCUAUGGUUGACCUCGGAUCAGGUAGGGAUACCCGCUGAACUUAAGCAUAUCAAUAAGCGGAGGA